This 697-nucleotide long non-coding RNA is filed under the name Salmo salar (Atlantic salmon). Its description in RNAcentral is "lncRNA (ENSSSAG00000092725.1)". The record is from RNAcentral. Lineage: Eukaryota; Metazoa; Chordata; Actinopteri; Salmoniformes; Salmonidae.
CUUUUUUCAAUCAGGUUGUUUCAGGUAAUCUUUUGCCGCAUAGUCUGCCCUAGCUGACGCUGUGCAGAGAAUACUACGAUUGGAAACGGUUGGUUAGACCCGUUCGCACUGCACAAGGUGAUUUGGCGUUUAGAAUGUCUGGUAGGCUCUUACAUUCUUUGGAGAGGUCCCAAAUGGCACCCUGUAGUGUACUACUUUUGACCUAUCCCCAGUGGGCUCAGAUCAAAAUAAGUGCACUAUAUAGGGAAUGGCGUGCCAUUUGUCUGUGUGUGUGUGUGUGUGUUAGGAUAUGUUUUGUGCCAAUCAGUUGAUGAAAAUGUAUCCCUCAGAAAGCAAGAUGGACCGUAGUGAUGAGAGAAUCAAAAGAGCUUUAAGGCGCCGCCCUUAUGUGGUAAAUACCAAUUUAUUUAGUUUGUGUUCUGUCUUUGUCAUCACAUUUUAAAUGGAGUGUUGUGUUGACAGUUGAAUCCAGUGAGGGUGAACACCCCUGAUUCUGUGAUGUGGCCAACCGGUAAGGUGCACAGAAGACCAAGGCCUAUAUCCCUCCCCAUCUAUACUCAUUUGAAAUUGAAUGCUGUCUUGACAGUCUACUUCAGCGCAGACCCCUCAGAUCCACAAAAGGCCUCCAAUCAUUGAGAGCUGUGGGCAGGAACAGACAUCUGGGGAUGGACGGGACAUCAAUCCAGAGCCUCUCAGC